UUUCCUCAGUCUGGGAGCUGUAUGGCGUUGGUGGAGCACACCAUACUUGCAGAAAGAGCAUCUUCCUGAGGAAACAGGCACAACUGACCGAAUCCCAACAAUACCUGUGAAAUUUUCCACCCACUGCUCUUGGACAUUGGUGGCAUGACUGGGCAGUGUAUCGUAGUGUCAUUAUCUAUCAGUAACAGUAAGAGAAACUGUGCGGUCAGCAUACUGUUCAACAGAUGGAGUACUUUCUAUUGGACAAUAAGUAAAGCUAAAAAU
This is a non-coding RNA of Sorex fumeus (smoky shrew), 264 nucleotides long. NCBI's taxonomy places the organism in Eukaryota, Metazoa, Chordata, Mammalia, Eulipotyphla, Soricidae. The record is from RefSeq and is a predicted model, not a curated record.